RNAcentral lists this long non-coding RNA (255 nucleotides) under Elaeis guineensis (African oil palm). RNAcentral's name for it is "long non-coding RNA (EGUI_LNC080281)". The record is from RNAcentral. Lineage: Eukaryota; Viridiplantae; Streptophyta; Magnoliopsida; Arecales; Arecaceae.
CUAAUAAUUAUUUUAACAUAAAAAAAUUAUAAUUGAUAAGAAUCAUUUUAUCAAUUUAUCAGCUAUAAUAAAGGGAGUGCUGAUUUCUAUUGAUAGUAUAACCAAAUGUACCUGAUACUGUGGUAACUUAAGAUUUGUCUUAGAUGAAAAUCUUACUUAAGCAUGAAUAGGUUGGCUUUAAUUAUGAAAUAGGUCGGUUUGUAAAAAAUUAAAGGUGAAGAGACAGAAAAAAACAUAAUGAUGGAUGACGGUACG